GACAACGCUGGCGGCGUGCUUAACACAUGCAAGUCGAACGAGAAUCGUAUGAAGGAGGAUUCGUCCAACGGAAUACGAGGACAGUGGCGGACGGGUGAGUAACGCGUGAGUAACCUGCCUUUCAGAGGGGGACAACAGUUGGAAACGACUGCUAAUACCGCAUGACGCAGCGAGGUCGCAUGACCUUGCUGUCAAAGAUUUAUCGCUGAAAGAUGGACUCGCGUCUGAUUAGCUAGUUGGUGAGGUAAAGGCUCACCAAGGCGACGAUCAGUAGCCGGACUGAGAGGUUGACCGGCCACAUUGGGACUGAGAUACGGCCCAGACUCCUACGGGAGGCAGCAGUGGGGAAUAUUGGGCAAUGGGCGCAAGCCUGACCCAGCAACGCCGCGUGAAGGAAGAAGGCUUUCGGGUUGUAAACUUCUUUUGUCAGGGAAGAGUAGAAGACUGUACCUGGCGAAUAAGCCACGGCUAACUACGUG
Molecule: ribosomal RNA, 479 nt
Filed under: uncultured bacterium
Lineage: Bacteria
Description: bacterial SSU rRNA
Rfam family: Bacterial small subunit ribosomal RNA
Source: RNAcentral